RNAcentral lists this ribosomal RNA (579 nucleotides) under Providencia rettgeri. RNAcentral's name for it is "partial 23S ribosomal RNA". It matches the Rfam family "Bacterial large subunit ribosomal RNA", at positions 1 to 586 of the family's 2925-position model. The record is from RNAcentral. Lineage: Bacteria; Pseudomonadati; Pseudomonadota; Gammaproteobacteria; Enterobacterales; Morganellaceae.
GGUUAAGCGACUAAGCGUACACGGUGGAUGCCUAGGCAAUCAGAGGCGAUGAAGGACGUGCUAAUCUGCGAUAAGCGUCGGUAAGGUGAUAUGAACCGUGAUAACCGACGAUUUCCGAAUGGGGAAACCCAGUGCAAUUCGUUGCACUAUCGUUUGAUGAAUACAUAGUCAAACGAAGCGAACCGGGGGAACUGAAACAUCUCAGUACCCCGAGGAAAAGAAAUCAACCGAGAUUCCCCUAGUAGCGGCGAGCGAACGGGGAGCAGCCCAGAGUCUUAAUCAGCAUUAGCAUCAGGAGAACGGUCUGGAAAGUCCGGCAGUAAAGGGUGAUAGCCCCGUAUCCGAAGGUGUUAGUGUUGUGAACUCGACGAGUAGGGCGGGACACGUGUUAUCCUGUCUGAAUAUGGGGGGACCAUCCUCCAAGGCUAAAUACUCCUGAUUGACCGAUAGUGAACCAGUACCGUGAGGGAAAGGCGAAAAGAACCCCGGCGAGGGGAGUGAAAUAGAACCUGAAACCGUGUACGUACAAGCAGUGGGAGCCCCACCACCAAAGCAUUUUCUGGUGUUGAGGACAACUUU